CCUACGGGGGGCAGCAGUGAGGAAUAUUGGUCAAUGGGCGAGAGCCUGAACCAGCCAAGUCGCGUGAAGGAUGAAGGAUCUAUGGUUUGUAAACUUCGUUUAUAGGGGAAUAAAGUGAGGAACGUGUGCCUUUUUGUAUGUACCAUAUGAAUAAGCAUAGGCUAACUCCGUGCCAGCAGACGCGGUAAUACGGAGGAUGCGAGCGUUAUCCGGAUUUAUUUGGUUUAAAGGGUGCGUAGGUGGUUACUUAAGUCAGCGGUGAAAGUUUGUGGCUCAACCCUAAAAUUGCCGUUGAAACUGGUUGCCUUGAGUAUAUUUGCGGUCGGCGGAAUUCGUGGUGUAGCCGUGA
This 349-nucleotide ribosomal RNA is filed under the name uncultured bacterium. RNAcentral describes it as "partial 16S ribosomal RNA". It matches the Rfam family "Bacterial small subunit ribosomal RNA", at positions 338 to 684 of the family's 1533-position model. The record is from RNAcentral.